ACGAACGCUGGCGGCGUGCUUAACACAUGCAAGUCGAACGGUGAAGCCCUUCGGGGUGGAUCAGUGGCGAACGGGUGAGUAACACGUGGGCAAUCUGCCCUGCACUCUGGGACAAGCCCUGGAAACGGGGUCUAAUACCGGAUAUGACCUGCUCUCGCAUGAGGGUGGGUGGAAAGCUCCGGCGGUGCAGGAUGAGCCCGCGGCCUAUCAGCUUGUUGGUGGGGUGAUGGCCUACCAAGGCGACGACGGGUAGCCG
RNAcentral lists this ribosomal RNA (256 nucleotides) under Streptomycetaceae bacterium ISO777_OTU2377. Its description in RNAcentral is "partial 16S ribosomal RNA". It matches the Rfam family "Bacterial small subunit ribosomal RNA", at positions 29 to 289 of the family's 1533-position model. Lineage: Bacteria; Bacillati; Actinomycetota; Actinomycetes; Kitasatosporales; Streptomycetaceae. The record is from RNAcentral.